UACGUAGGCAGCAAGCGUUGUUCGGAAUUACUGGGCGUAAAGAGUGUGUAGGCGGUGCUCUAAGUUUGGUGUGAAAUCUCCCGGCUUAACCGGGAGGGUGCAUCGAAUACUGGGGUGCUCGAGGGUGGGAGAGGUAAGCGGAAUUCCUGGUGUAGCGGUGAAAUGCGUAGAUAUCAGGAGGAACACCUGUGGUGUAGACAGCUUACUGGACCACUUCUGACGCUGAGACACGAAAGCGUGGGUAGCAAACAGG
RNAcentral lists this ribosomal RNA (253 nucleotides) under uncultured bacterium. Its description in RNAcentral is "partial 16S ribosomal RNA". It matches the Rfam family "Bacterial small subunit ribosomal RNA", at positions 524 to 776 of the family's 1533-position model. The record is from RNAcentral.